RNAcentral lists this small RNA (10382 nucleotides) under Pongo abelii (Sumatran orangutan). RNAcentral describes it as "retained intron". The record is from RNAcentral. Lineage: Eukaryota; Metazoa; Chordata; Mammalia; Primates; Hominidae.
GCUUUCUCACCAGACCCACCGAGCGGCGGCGGAGGCGAGAUGCGCUGGGCCGGCGCGUGGGUCCUGGGCCUGGCCUUGCUGCUGUGUAGCGUCGCGCGGUGCCAGCAGAGAGGCCUGUUUCCUGCCAUUCUCAAUCUUGCCAGCAAUGCUCACAUCAGCACCAAUGCCACCUGUGGCGAGAAGGGGCCCGAGAUGUUCUGCAAACUUGUGGAGCAUGUGCCAGGUCGGCCCGUCCGAAACCCACAGUGCCGGAUCUGUGAUGGCAACAGCGCAAACCCCAGAGAGCGCCAUCCAAUAUCACAUGCCAUAGAUGGCACCAAUAACUGGUGGCAAAGUCCCAGCAUUCAGAAUGGGAGAGAGUAUCACUGGGUCACAAUCACUCUGGACUUAAGACAGGUCUUUCAAGUUGCAUAUGUCAUCAUUAAAGCUGCCAAUGCCCCUCGACCUGGAAACUGGAUUUUGGAGCGUUCUCUGGACGGCACCACAUUCAGCCCUUGGCAGUAUUAUGCAGUCAGCGACUCAGAGUGUUUGUCUCGUUACAAUAUAACUCCAAGACGAGGGCCACCCACCUACAGGGCUGAUGAUGAAGUGAUCUGCACCUCCUAUUAUUCCAGAUUGGUGCCACUUGAGCAUGGAGAGAUUCAUACAUCACUCAUCAAUGGCAGACCAAGCGCUGACGAUCUUUCACCCAAGUUGUUGGAAUUCACUUCUGCACGAUAUAUUCGCCUUCGCUUACAACGCAUUAGAACGCUGAAUGCAGAUCUCAUGACCCUUAGCCACCGGGAACCUAAAGAACUGGAUCCUAUUGUUACCAGACGCUAUUAUUAUUCAAUAAAGGACAUUUCUGUUGGAGGCAUGUGUAUCUGCUAUGGCCAUGCUAGUAGCUGCCCGUGGGAUGAAACUACAAAGAAACUGCAGUGUCAAUGUGAGCAUAAUACUUGCGGGGAGAGCUGUAACAGGUGCUGUCCUGGGUACCAUCAGCAGCCCUGGAGGCCGGGAACCGUGUCCUCCGGCAAUACCUGUGAAGCAUGUAAUUGUCACAAUAAAGCCAAAGACUGUUACUAUGAUGAAAGUGUUGCAAAGCAGAAGAAAAGUUUGAAUACUGCUGGACAGUUCAGAGGAGGAGGGGUUUGCAUAAAUUGCUUGCAGAACACCAUGGGAAUCAACUGUGAAACCUGUAUUGAUGGAUAUUAUAGACCACACAAAGUAAGAGUAUUUCUUUGCCAUUGCUGAUCUUCAUCAUCUUCCCCAGGUGGAAAAGAGACUUUGUCAAGUCUUAACCUCUGUAUUGGAGACUUUUGUAAUAUUUCAUUUAUAUCCUUGUUAUGCCAGUAGUGUUUUUAUAUAUAUAUUUCCUACUCUAUCCUGCUUUCUUGCUCAAAAUAAGAUGUCAGACAUUGUUAUUUAACUUGAAUUCAGGGGUCCAUUCGCUAUGUAAUCCUGGGUCAUAAUACUAACUACAGAUGUGAAAAUUCAGCUAUAACUAAAGCAGCUGUCUCUUGCCUGUAGGAGAUGUUCAGCCAAUCCUUUUUUUAAUUUUUAUUUUUUGAGACGGAGUCUCGCUCUGUCGCCAGGCUGGAGUGCAGUGGCACGAUCUCAGCUCACUGCAACCUCUGCCUCCCAGGUUCAAGAGAUUCUCCUGCCUCAGCCUCCCGAGUAGCUGGGAUUACAGGCACGUGCCACCACACCCAGCUAAUUUUUGUAUUUUUAGUAGAGACAGGGUUUCAGCGUGUCGGCCAGGAUGGUCUCAAUCUCUUGACCUUGUGAUCCGCCUGCCUUGGCCUCCCAAAGUGCUGGGAUUACAAAUGUGAGCCACCGCGCCCGGCCGUGUUCAGCCAAUUUUUAAUUGACUUGAUAAGUAGUUCUUACAUGGGUCCUUGUGGUGGCCUGGUUAUACGUGGCUCUGAGAGACAGCAGAGCGAGGAGGGCUGGAUAGCAGGGAUAAUAGAAAAAGAUGGCACUUCGCUAAUGGUACUAACUACUGCCACCAUCAAAAAGGUGUUUGGGCUUCCUGGCUUGAGAUCACCUUAUCUUCCUCAAACCUAACCCCCACCCCCAUGCACAAAAUCAUCGUAAUAGUCCCAUCUUGAGUAAAAAGCUAAUACCUUCUUAUUUAUACUAUUGCCAACAUUGCUGUUAUUUCUAGUAAGAGAAUCCAGAGCAACCUCUGCCUUUCAGGUGUCUCCUUAUGAGGAUGAGCCUUGCCGCCCCUGUAACUGUGACCCUGUGGGGUCCCUCAGUUCUGUCUGUAUUAAGGAUGACCUCCAUUCUGACUUACACAAUGGGAAGUGGCCGGGUCAGUGCCCAUGUAAGGAAGGCUAUGCAGGAGAAAAAUGUGAUCGCUGCCAACUUGGCUAUAAGGAUUACCCGACCUGUGUCUCCUGUGGGUGCAACCCAGCGGGUAGUGCCAGUGAUGAGCCCUGCACAGGGCCCUGUGUUUGUAAGGAAAACGUUGAGGGGAAGGCCUGUGAUCGCUGCAAGCCAGGAUUCUAUAACUUGAAGGAAAAAAACCCCCGGGGCUGCUCCGAGUGCUUCUGCUUUGGCGUUUCUGAUGUCUGCAGCAGCCUCUCUUGGCCUGUUGGUCAGGUAAACGAUAUGUCCGGGUGGCUGGUCACCGACUUGAUCAGUCCCAGGAAGAUCCUGUCUCAGCAAGAUGCACUAGGCAGGCGCCAUCAGGUCAGCAUCAACAACACCGCGGUCAUGCAGAGGCUGGCUCUCAAGUACUACUGGGCGGCCCCCAAGGCCUACCUUGGAAAUAAGCUGACUGCGUUUGGUGGAUUCCUGAAAUACACGGUGUCUUACGAAAUUCCAGUAGAGACGGUAGACAGUAACCUCAUGUCGCAUGCUGACGUCAUCAUUAAGGGAAACGGACUCACUUUAAGCACACAGGCUGAGGGUCUGUCAUUGCAGCCUUAUGAAGAGUACACAAAUGUGGUUAGACUUGUGCCUGAAAACUUCCGAGAUUUUCACAGCAAAAUGCAGAUUGAUCGUGACCAGCUGAUGACUGUCCUUGCCAAUGUGACACAUCUUUUGAUCAGAGCCAACUACAAUUCUGCAAAAAUGGCUCUUUACAGGUUGGAGUCCGUCUCUCUGGACAUAGCCAGCCCUAAUGCCAUCGACCUGGUGGUGGCCGCUGAUGUGGAGCACUGUGAAUGUCCACAAGGCUACACAGGGACCUCCUGUGAGUUGUGCCUCUCUGGCUAUUACCGCGUGGAUGGAAUACUCUUUGGAGGAAUUUGUCAAGCCUGCGAAUGCCACGGCCAUGCAGCUGAGUGCGACGUUCAUGGCGUUUGCAUUGCAUGUGCGCACACCACCACCGGCGACCACUGUGAACAGUGCUUGCCCGGCUUCUACGGGGAGCCUUCCCGAGGGACACCUGGGGACUGCCAGCCCUGCGCCUGCCCUCUCACCAUAGCCUCCAACAAUUUCAGCCCCACCUGCCACCUCAGUGAUGGAGAUGAAGUGGUCUGUGACCGGUGUGCCCCGGGCUACUCAGGAGCUUGGUGUGAGAGAUGUGCAGAUGGUUACUAUGGAAACCCAACCGUGCCUGGCGAAUCUUGUGUUCCCUGUGACUGCAGCGGCAAUGUGGACCCCUCGGAGGCUGGUCACUGUGACUCAGUCACCGGGGAGUGCCUGAAGUGCCUGGGGAACACAGACGGCGCCCACUGUGAAAGGUGUGCUGACGGGUUCUACGGGGAUGCUGUGACAGCCAAGAACUGCCGCGCCUGUGAAUGCCAUGUGAAAGGCUCCCAUUCUGCCGUGUGCCAUCCUGAGACCGGGCUCUGCGACUGCAAACCAAACGUGACUGGACAGCAGUGUGACCAGUGCUUGCAUGGCUAUUAUGGGCUGGACUCAGGCCAUGGCUGCCAGCCCUGCAACUGCAGUGUGGCAGGCUCCGUGUCAGAUGACUGCACGGAUGAAGGCCAGUGUCACUGCGUCCCAGGUGUGGCAGGGAAAAGGUGUGACAGGUGUGCCCGUGGCUUCUACACCUAUCAGGAUGGUAGCUGUACACCCUGUGACUGCCCACACACUCAGAAUACCUGCGACCCAGAAACUGGAGAGUGUGUCUGCCCCCCUCACACACAGGGUGUGAAGUGUGAAGAAUGUGAGGAUGGGCACUGGGGCUACGAUGUGGAGGUGGGGUGCCAGGCCUGCAAUUGCAGUCUCGUGGGGUCGACUCAUCAUCAGUGCGAUGUGGUCACCAGCCAUUGCCAGUGCAAGUCAAAAUUUGGUGGCCGGGCCUGCGAUCAGUGUUCCUUGGGUUACAGAGAUUUUCCUGACUGUGUUCCCUGUGACUGUGACCUGAGGGGGACGUCGGGGGACGCCUGCAACCUGGAGCAGGGUCUCUGCGGCUGUGCGGAGGAAACCGGGGCCUGCCCUUGUAAGGAGAAUGUCUUUGGCCCUCAGUGCAACGAGUGUCGAGAGGGCACCUUUGCUCUCCGCGCAGACAACCCCCUGGGCUGCAGCCCCUGCUUCUGCUCCGGGCUGUCCCACCUCUGCUCAGAGCUGGAGGGCUACGUGAGGACCCCAGUAACGCUGGGCUCCGAUCAGCCUCUUCUGCGUGUGGUUUCUCAGAGUAACUUGAGGGGCACGACCGAGGGGGUUUACUACCAGGCCCCCGACUUCCUGCUGGAUGCCGCCACCAUCCGGCAGCACAUCCGUGCAGAGCCGUUUUACUGGCGGCUGCCGCAGCAGUUCCAAGGAGACCAGCUCAUGGCCUAUGGUGGCAAACUGAAGUACAGCGUGGCCUUCUAUUCUUUGGAUGGCAUCGGCACCUCCAAUUUUGAGCCUCAAGUUCUCAUCAAAGGUGGUCGGAUCAGAAAGCAAGUCAUUUACAUGGAUGCACCAGCCCCUGAGAAUGGAGUGAGACAGGAACAAGAAGUAGCAAUGAGAGAGAAUUUUUGGAAAUAUUUUAACUCUGUUUCUGAAAAACCUGUCACGCGAGAGGAUUUUAUGUCUGUCCUUAGCGAUAUUGAGUACAUCCUCAUCAAGGCAUCGUAUGGUCAAGGAUUACAGCAGAGCAGAAUCUCAGACAUUUCAAUGGAGGUUGGCAGAAAGGCUGAAAAGCUGCACCCAGAAGAAGAGGUUGCAUCUCUUUUAGAGAAUUGUGUCUGUCCUCCUGGCACUGUGGGAUUCUCAUGUCAGGACUGUGCCCCUGGGUACCACAGAGGGAAGCUCCCAGCAGGGAGUGACAGGGGACUGCGCCCUCUGAUUGCUCCUUGUGUACCCUGCAGUUGCAACAACCAUAGUGACACCUGUGACCCUGACACCGGGAAGUGUCUGAACUGUGGCGAUAACACAGCAGGUGACCAUUGUGAUGUGUGUGCUUCUGGUUACUACGGGAAGGUGACUGGCUCAGCAAGUGACUGUGCUCCGUGUGCCUGUCCUCACAGCCCUCCUGCCAGUUUUAGUCCCACUUGCGUCUUGGAAGGUGACCACAAUUUCCGUUGUGACGCCUGUCUCCUGGGCUAUGAAGGAAAACAUUGUGAAAGGUGCUCCUCUGGCUAUUAUGGGAACCCUCAAACACCAGGUGGCAGUUGCCAGAAGUGUGACUGCAACCCGCACGGCUCUGUCCACGGUGACUGUGACCGCACAUCUGGGCAGUGCGUUUGUAGGCUGGGGGCCUCGGGGCUCCGGUGCGAUGAGUGUGAACCGAGGCACAUUCUGAUGGAAACGGAUUGUGUUUCCUGUGAUGAUGAGUGUGUAGGUGUGCUGCUGAAUGACUUGGAUGAGAUUGGUGAUGCCAUUCUUUCUCUGAACCUCACUGGCAUUAUCCCUGUCCCAUAUGGAAUUUUGUCAAACCUGGAAAAUACAACGAAAUAUCUCCAGGAAUCAUUAUUAAAAGAAAAUAUGCAAAAGGACCUGGGGAAAAUUAAGCUUGAAGGUGUUGCAGAAGAAAUGGACAACCUGCAAAAGAAGCUCACUAGAAUGUUAGCGAGUACCCAAAAGGUGAAUAGGGCAACUGAGAGAAUCUUCAAGGAGAGUCAAGAUCUGGCCAUAGCCAUUGAGAGGCUGCAGAUGAGCAUCACAGAAAUUAUGGAAAAGACAACUUUAAAUCAGACUUUGGACGAAGAUUUCCUACUACCCAAUUCUACUCUUCAGAACAUGCAACAGAAUGGUACAUCUUUGCUAGAAAUCAUGCAGAUAAGAGACUUCACACAGUUGCACCAAAAUGCCACCCUUGAACUCAAGGCUGCUGAAGAUUUAUUGUCACAAAUUCAGGAAAAUUACCAGAAGCCGCUGGAAGAAUUGGAGGUAUUGAAAGAAGCAGCAAGCCACCUCCUUUCAAAGCACAAUAAUGAACUAAAGGCGGCUGAGGCGCUCGUGAGGGAAGCUGAGGCAAAGAUGCAGGAAAGCAACCACCUGCUGCUCAUGGUCAAUGCUAAUCUGAGAGAAUUCAGUGAUAAAAAGCUACAUGUUCAAGAAGAACAAAAUCUGACCUCAGAACUCAUUGCCCAAGGAAGAGGAUUGAUAGAUGCUGCUGCUGCACAAACAGAUGCUGUACAAGAUGCUCUAGAGCACUUAGAGGAUCACCAGGAUAAGCUACUUUUAUGGUCUGCCAAAAUCAGGCACCACAUAGAUGACCUGGUCAUGCACAUGUCCCAAAGGAACGCACUCGACCUGGUCUACAGAGCUGAGGACCAUGCCGCUGAGUUCCAGAGACUAGCAGAUGUUCUGUACAGUGGCCUUGAAAACAUCAGAAAUGUGUCCCUGAAUGCCACCAGUGCAGCCUAUGUCCAUUACAACAUCCAGAGCCUGAUCGAAGAAUCGGAGGAACUGGCCAGAGAUGCUCACAGGACUGUGACUGAGACGAGCCUGCUCUCAGAAUCCCUUGUUUAUAAUGGGAAAGCGGCCGUGCAGCGCAGCUCCAAAUUUCUAAAAGAAGGCAACAACCUCAGCAGGAGGCUUCCAGGUAUUGCAUUGGAACUGAGUGAAUUGAGAAAUAAGACAAACAGAUUUCAAGAGAAUGCUGUUGAAAUUACCUGGCAGACCAAUGAAUCACUCUUGAUACUUAGAGCAAUUCCUGAAGGUAUAAGAGACAAGGGAGCCAAAACCAAAGAGCUGGCCACGUCUGCAAGCCAGAGCGCGGUGAGCACGCUGAGGGACGUGGCGGGGCUGAGCCAGGAGCUGCUGAACACAUCUGCCAGCCUGUCUAGGGUCAACACCACAUUACAAGAGACGCACCAGCUUCUGCAGGACUCCACCAUGGCCACUCUGUUGGCUGGAAGAAAAGUCAAAGAUGUGGAAACUCAAGCCAACCUUUUGUUUGAUCGGUUGAAGCCCUUGAAGAUGUUAGAGGAGAAUCUGAGCAGAAACCUAUCAGAAAUUAAACUGUUGAUCAGCCAGGCCCGCAAACAAGCAGCUUCUAUUAAAGUCGCUGUGUCUGCAGACAGAGAUUGCAUCCGGGCCUACCAGCCUCAGAUUUCCUCUACCAACUACAACACCUUAACACUAAAUGUUAAGACACAGGAACCCGAUAAUCUUCUCUUCUACCUCGGUAGCAGCACCGCUUCUGAUUUCCUUGCAGUGGAGAUGCGGCGAGGGAAAGUGGCCUUCCUGUGGGACCUGGGCUCUGGGUCCACACGCUUGGAGUUUCCAGACUUUCCCAUUGAUGACAACAGAUGGCACAGUAUCCAUGUAGCCAGAUUUGGAAACAUUGGUUCACUGAGUGUAAAGGAAAUGAGCUCAAAUCAGAAGUCACCAACAAAAACAAGUAAAUCCCCUGGGACAGCUAAUGUUCUGGAUGUAAAUAAUUCAACACUCAUGUUUGUUGGAGGUCUUGGAGGACAAAUCAAGAAAUCUCCUGCUGUGAAGGUUACUCAUUUUAAAGGCUGCUUGGGAGAGGCCUUCCUGAAUGGAAAAUCCAUCGGCCUAUGGAACUAUAUUGAAAGGGAAGGCAAGUGCCGUGGGUGCUUUGGAAGCUCCCAGAAUGAAGACCCUUCCUUCCAUUUUGACGGGAGUGGGUACUCUGUCGUGGAGAAGUCACUUCCGGCUACCGUGACCCAGAUAAUCAUGCUUUUUAAUACCUUUUCACCUAACGGACUUCUUCUCUACCUGGGUUCAUACGGCACAAAAGACUUUUUAUCCAUCGAGCUGUUUCACGGCAGAGUGAAGGUUAUGACUGACCUGGGUUCAGGACCCCUUACCCUUUUGACAGACAGACGUUAUAACAAUGGAACCUGGUACAAAAUUGCCUUCCAGCGAAACCGGAAGCAAGGAGUCCUAGCAGUUAUCGAUGCCUAUAACACCAGUAAUAAAGAAACCAAGCAGGGUGAGACUCCGGGAGCAUCUUCUGACCUCAACCGCCUAGACAAGGACCCGAUUUAUGUGGGUGGAUUACCAAGGUCAAGAGUUGUAAGGAGAGGUGUCACCACCAAAAGCUUUGUGGGCUGCCUCAAGAACCUGGAAAUAUCCAGAUCAACCUUUGACUUACUCAGAAAUUCCUAUGGAGUGAGAAAAGGCUGUUUACUGGAGCCCAUCCGGAGUGUUAGCUUCUUGAAAGGCGGCUACAUUGAAUUGCCACCCAAAUCUUUGUUACCAGAAUCGGAAUGGCUGGUAACAUUUGCCACCACGAACAGCAGUGGCAUCAUCCUGGCUGCCCUCGGCGGGGAUGUGGAGAAGCGGGGUGAUCGUGAGGAAGCACAUGUGCCCUUCUUUUCCAUCAUGCUGAUCGGAGGCAACAUUGAGGUACAUGUCAAUCCUGGGGAUGGGACAGGCCUGAGAAAAGCUCUCCUGCACGCUCCCACGGGUACAUGCAGCGAUGGACAAGCGCAUUCCAUCUCCUUGGUCAGGAAUCGGAGAAUUAUCACUGUCCAAUUGGAUGAGAACAAUCCUGUGGAAAUGAAGUUGGGCCCAUUAGUAGAAAGCAGGACGAUAAAUGUGUCCGAUCUGUACGUCGGGGGAAUUCCAGAGGGAGAGGGGACAUCGCUGCUCACAAUGAGAAGAUCGUUCCAUGGCUGUAUCAAAAACCUGAUCUUCAAUUUGGAACUUUUGGAUUUCAACAGUGCAGUUGGCCAUGAGCAAGUCGACUUGGACACCUGCUGGCUGUCAGAAAGGCCUAAGCUGGCUCCCGAUGCAGAGGACAGCAAGCUCUUGCCAGAGCCCCGGGCUUUUCCAGAACAGUGUGUGGUGGAUGCAGCUCUGGAGUACGUUCCUGGCGCUCACCAGUUUGGUCUCACACAAAACAGCCAUUUCAUCUUGCCUUUUAAUCAGUCGGCUGUCAGAAAGAAGCUCUCGGUUGAGCUAAGUAUCCGCACGUUCGCCUCCAGCGGCCUGAUUUACUACAUGGCUCAUCAGAACCAAGCAGACUACGCCGUGCUCCAGCUGCACGGGGGCCGCCUCCACUUCAUGUUUGACCUUGGCAAAGGCAGAACAAAGGUCUCUCACCCUGCACUGCUCAGCGAUGGCAAGUGGCACACGGUCAAGACAGACUAUGUUAAAAGAAAAGGCUUCAUAACUGUUGACGGCCAAGAGUCCCCCAUGGUGACUGUGGUGGGAGACGGAACCAUGCUGGAUGUGGAGGGUUUGUUCUACCUUGGAGGCCUGCCCUCCCAGUACCAGGCCAGGAAAAUUGGAAAUAUCACCCACAGCAUCCCUGCCUGCAUUGGGGAUGUGAUGGUUAACAGCAAACAGCUGGACAAGGACAGCCCGGUGUCUGCCUUCACGGUGAACAGGUGCUACGCAGUGGCCCAGGAAGGAACAUACUUUGACGGAAGCGGAUAUGCCGCUCUUGUCAAAGAGGGCUACAAAGUCCAGUCAGAUGUGAACAUCACACUGGAGUUUCGAACCUCCUCGCAGAAUGGCGUCCUCCUGGGGAUCAGCACUGCCAAAGUGGAUGCCAUUGGACUAGAGCUUGUGGACGGCAAGGUCUUGUUCCAUGUCAACAAUGGUGCUGGCAGGAUAACAGCUGCAUAUGAGCCCAAAACCACCACUGCGCUCUGUGAUGGAAAAUGGCACACUCUUCAGGCUAAGAAAAGCAAACACCGUAUCACUCUGAUUGUCGACGGGAACGCAGUUGGCGCUGAAAGUCCACACACCCAGUCUACCUCGGUGGACACCAACAAUCCCAUUUAUGUUGGUGGCUAUCCUGCUGGUGUGAAGCAAAAAUGCCUGCGCAGCCAGACCUCGUUCCGCGGGUGUUUGAGGAAGCUAGCUCUGAUUAAGAGCCCACAGGUGCAAUCCUUUGACUUCAGCAGAGCGUUCGAACUGCAUGGAGUUUUCCUUCAUUCCUGUCCUGGGACCGAGUCCUGAACUUCAAGCAGAAUCCUCAUUUGGAAUCAUUGCUGAUAUUUUGAGGAGAAGUGUAUGUGUGAAUUAAGAAUCUCUUCAGUUCAUAUUUCAUUUCCAACUCAGGUUAAGUGUUUCUGGGGAGAGAUGUUGUG